RNAcentral lists this ribosomal RNA (483 nucleotides) under uncultured bacterium. RNAcentral's name for it is "partial 16S ribosomal RNA". It matches the Rfam family "Bacterial small subunit ribosomal RNA", at positions 30 to 504 of the family's 1533-position model. The record is from RNAcentral.
AUUGAACGCUGGCGGCAUGCCUUACACAUGCAAGUCGAACGGCAGCACGGGUGCUUGCACCUGGUGGCGAGUGGCGAACGGGUGAGUAAUACAUCGGAACAUGUCCUGUAGUGGGGGAUAGCCCGGCGAAAGCCGGAUUAAUACCGCAUACGAUCUACGGAUGAAAGCGGGGGACCUUCGGGCCUCGCGCUAUAGGGUUGGCCGAUGGCUGAUUAGCUAGUUGGUGGGGUAAAGGCCUACCAAGGCGACGAUCAGUAGCUGGUCUGAGAGGACGACCAGCCACACUGGGACUGAGACACGGCCCAGACUCCUACGGGAGGCAGCAGUGGGGAAUGUUGGACAAUGGGCGAAAGCCUGAUCCAGCAAUGCCGCGUGUGUGAAGAAGGCCUUCGGGUUGUAAAGCACUUUUGUCCGGAAAGAAAUCCUUGGCCCUAAUACGGUCGGGGGAGGACGGUACCGGAAGAAUAAGCACCGGCUAACUAC